This is a long non-coding RNA of Poeciliopsis prolifica (blackstripe livebearer), 382 nucleotides long. RefSeq lists it as uncharacterized. Lineage: Eukaryota; Metazoa; Chordata; Actinopteri; Cyprinodontiformes; Poeciliidae. The transcript has 3 exons. The record is from RefSeq and is a predicted model, not a curated record.
UGUUUUCAGUUAUUCUGGAAUUUAUCUGCAGAAGACGUCCACAACGAUUUUAUAUUGAACUUUCAUGUGAAUCUGGAGUUUAUUUCAGUUUUAAAGCGCCUGUCUAAGAGCUGAAACCUCCGGAUCGUCUGCACAAGGAGAAACUGCUACUGUAGAUGAACUGUACUCAAGUCUCCCACAACAAACCAGAGACAUUUAUCAAACUGUCUCCUUUGGUCACCAUCAGUAUAAAUCAGAAACAAAUGUCACUGACGGGCUGGGAAACAUUUAUGAAAACAUUUUGAAUUAAAGAUCUGUCUUGAUGAAUACAACAGGAUUUCCUCGUUAUGUUGUACUUCACAACCUUUCUGUUAGUUUGCAUGUUGAACUUUAACACAAAAAA